RNAcentral lists this transfer RNA (102 nucleotides) under Cadophora malorum. It matches the Rfam family "tRNA". From Rfam's summary of the family: Transfer RNA (tRNA) molecules are approximately 80 nucleotides in length. The record is from Rfam by way of RNAcentral. Lineage: Eukaryota; Fungi; Ascomycota; Leotiomycetes; Helotiales; Ploettnerulaceae.
UCCGGAAUGGUGUAGUGGCUAGCAUUUCUGCCUCUCAAGAUCUGCCUAAUCAGCAGUGAAAGAUGUUCGCAGGAGACCGGGGUUCAAUUCCCCGUUCCGGAA